UGUGGAUGCAGGAGGAGAGCUGGCUUUGGCCAGCUUCUGCCUGGGCUGGAAGCUGACCUCGGAUCCAGCUCCUGUUGUCUCUGCAGCCUCAGCUUUCACGAAUGGAAGAUGGGGUUGACGUCUCUGAAUUCCCAGAGGCUGGCUUCAAACUUGUUAUGUAGGUUGUCCGUUGCUAUGGUCCUGGCUGGUCUGGAACUUGGUAUGCAGCCCAAAGGUGACCCUGAGACAGCUCUGCUCCCCCAGUGCUGGGAUCCCAGUGCUUCCACAUCUGUCUGCUAACACUCUAUAUGCUCCGGAGGACAAUCCAGCUGGACAGAUUCCAGUGAUGGAAUGCUGGCUGGUAGCCAUGUGUCUUCAGAGUUGAAUGGGGUCGCCUGGCACCUCCUGGCACCUUACUUACGCUCUCUCCUCACAGGGCUGUAUGCCUGUUCUCACAUACUCCACAACCUUCCUCGUUCUCUAUGAAAUGUUCAGCUUCUGUGAAUUGCUUUUGCAGGUCUUUUGUCCACUUUCCUUUUGUACUGAUUUUUCUGGAACUUUCUAUGUUCCAAAUACAACCUUUCAUUUGUUAUGUACUAAAAAGAUUCUGCUCAA
Rattus norvegicus (Norway rat) is the source of this 594-nucleotide non-coding RNA. NCBI's taxonomy places the organism in Eukaryota, Metazoa, Chordata, Mammalia, Rodentia, Muridae. The record is from RefSeq and is a predicted model, not a curated record.